UUAUAACCGCGUUAGCGAUUGUAGUGGCAUCCUUUUGCUUUUCGCAAAAGAUAUAACGGAAAGCGCGACCUUUA
Molecule: small RNA, 74 nt
Filed under: Winogradskyella eximia
Lineage: Bacteria; Pseudomonadati; Bacteroidota; Flavobacteriia; Flavobacteriales; Flavobacteriaceae
Description: Flavo-1 RNA
Rfam family: Flavo-1 RNA
Source: RNAcentral